CAUUUAUUCAGGUGGGAGGAGUGGUUUUUUUGGAGGUGGGGAAGGGGUUACUAAGAGGAAGGGACCAGAUAGAAGUAUCCGGCAGUAUUAACUCUAGAUCAGAUAUUUGCAGAAUUGCCUGGGAAUGAUACUGUGAAAAGUUGUUGGAUCCAAGCUCCACCCCUUCCUAAUUUAAACAUCCUCCUAAGCUAAUGAAGAGAAAAGAGCUUGUCCAGCUUCUUCAGUGUCCAAGGGAAAAAGGAAGAUGCUGUUAGCCAUGGCUCAGACUUUUCUGUUCCCUCUAUAGGGGACUACUAGAUCUCAGACCCCUUCUUCUCCUGGGAAGUUAAAGGGAUUGAUCUAGCCCAAGGAAUUUAAAUGUUCCCAAGUAUGAAUUGACAUUAAAUCUCAAGUACAUGUAAUUCUCUCCUGGAUGAGGGUUGUGUAUGAAAGGAUGGAAACCUCAGAAAGGUGGAAUAAUGUUCCUUACUAACAGAGAGCUUUCAAGCAUAUGAACUGCAUGAGGAAGUGUUUAAGAAGGUGGAUCAAGAAAACAAAAAGGAGCAAUAGAACAGCAAAAUCCUCACCAAUGAACUACUAAUACCUCCGCUUAGUGGCAAAGCUAUCGCACAGAAACAGCUGAGUUAAUGAGGUGCCUUCCCUGCCUUGCUGGGUAGAACUAAGGCUGCAAAAAGAAAUGUCCGUCUUCACAUCAAGAGGAGAAAGCCAGCAAAGCAUGAGAGAAGCAGUUGUGAGAAUAACCCUGGGAACAACAGAGACAGAGAUCCUUGGUGCAGAAGACUCACUGGAAUGGCAGGGUUGAAAAUUGUGAGCAAGGAAACUGCCUGAUUGUUCUUUUUUGCUUCUACUGUGUUCAGGGAAACAGGACUUGGUGGACAUACUUUGUAAAUAAGCACGAUUGCACCAGAAAAAUGCACUACUCCUAUCACCACUUUCUCCUUCUAAAGGAAUCAAACUCGCAAGGCCCAAAUAUUGCCUAACACUCAGGUCAAAGGGACAACAGGGGCCAAUUUUUAAAAAAUUGUCUUCACAUAGUUUGUGCAUUAAUUGAGCGCCCAAACAAGCAUCCAUUUACAUGUGUAAUCAUGGCAAUUACUUAUUCAAAUGUAGUAUGUGAACGUUUUGAAAACUUUUGUCCUGUGCAGAGGGAAAAUUUUGUCGAUACAUUAUUUGAGGGUUACCACACAUUGGUAAAUGGUUUUCUGGUGCAUUCUAUACAUAGUCUGUGGUAAUAAAUUGUAUUGUUAAUGAAAGAAAUAUUGCAUCACUUGUUUGUUAUUCAUGCCUGCCUUCAUGUUCUAUUCACCUGAAUACAAAUGAAAGAGAAAUGUACAAAUCAAUUAGUGUACAAAUCAAAUUCUAAUACCCCAUGCAUUGUUAAAUGUGUAAAUAUAAACAAAGAUACUUUGACAGGGUGUGUAUUAUUAUAAAAUGAAGAAAUGGCCUAUUGCUUAGAUAUAGUGGAACAUGUAUGAGAUACAGUGCUAUAAACAUGAACUAUAGAGAGUAAUUUGCAUAUAUUAACAUCAUCAAAUUAGUAUCUUUAAAAAUAAGGAGCACUGAAAUUUGAAACUCAGGAUUUUCCUGUUAAUAAAUGGCAUUUUAGUUCUCCACACUA
This is a long non-coding RNA of Mauremys reevesii (Reeves's turtle), 1618 nucleotides long. RefSeq lists it as uncharacterized. The record is from RefSeq and is a predicted model, not a curated record. The transcript has 4 exons. Lineage: Eukaryota; Metazoa; Chordata; Testudines; Geoemydidae.